This 370-nucleotide RNase P RNA is filed under the name pig gut metagenome. Its description in RNAcentral is "Bacterial RNase P class A". It matches the Rfam family "Bacterial RNase P class A". Rfam says of the family: Ribonuclease P (RNase P) is a ubiquitous endoribonuclease, found in archaea, bacteria and eukarya as well as chloroplasts and mitochondria. Its best characterised activity is the generation of mature 5'-ends of tRNAs by cleaving the 5'-leader elements of precursor-tRNAs. Cellular RNase Ps are ribonucleoproteins. The record is from RNAcentral.
AGCAGAUUGUGCAGCCGCGGAAGCGCUUUUUAUGCUUACGAGGAAAGUCCGGGCAUCACAGAGCAGGGUAACUGCUAACGGCAGCCGGGGGCGACCCUAGGGCAAGUGCAACAGAAAUAAUACAGCUUCGAUUGGCUCACGCCUUUCGCGGCAACGGUGGAAAGGUGCGGUAAGAGCGCACCAGAGGGCGCGAGAGCGUCCUGCUGUGUAAACCCUACCCGAUGCAACGCUGAUUGGUGCGGAUGGUCGGAACGUCUGCUCGGCGGAUCAUUCGCAAAGGCGGCUUGAGCGGUUCGGCGACGAAUCGCCUAGAUAAAUGGCUGCACUGCGCUUUGCGCAGAGUCACAGAACCCGGCUUACAGGUCUGGUC